This is a small nucleolar RNA of Spea bombifrons (plains spadefoot toad), 67 nucleotides long. RefSeq annotates it as small nucleolar RNA SNORD82. The record is from RefSeq and is a predicted model, not a curated record. The transcript has a single exon. NCBI's taxonomy places the organism in Eukaryota, Metazoa, Chordata, Amphibia, Anura, Pelobatidae.
GGCACACAUGAUGAGCAUUGUGGGACUUAAUACUGAAUUACAUGAUGUCUUACUCUUGCUGAUGUGC